Molecule: ribosomal RNA, 313 nt
Filed under: uncultured eukaryote
Lineage: Eukaryota
Description: partial 18S ribosomal RNA
Rfam family: Eukaryotic small subunit ribosomal RNA
Source: RNAcentral
CCCUUCGAUGCUCUGGGCCGCACGCGCGCUACACUGGCAGAUACAGCGAGUUUGUGCUGCUCCGAAAGGAUGUGGCUAAACAGCAAAGUCUGUCGUGCUGGGGAUUGGUGAUUGCAAUUUUGCCAUGAACGAGGAAUUCCUAGUAGGUGCGGGUCAUCAGCUCGCGCCGAUUACGUCCCUGUCCUUUGUACACACCGCCCGUCGCUACUAUCGACGAGUGUACUGGCGAGUCUAUCGGAGAUGCCUGGCUCUUCGGAUUUGGGUGUCAAAAGUAGGCAAGCCUGUGCACCUGGAGAAAGUAAAAGUCGUAACA